GCACUGCUGAGGAGUCCCAUAAUAGGACGAAACGGCUGUCCAGUUC
RNAcentral lists this non-coding RNA (46 nucleotides) under Schistosoma mansoni. The record is from RNAcentral. Lineage: Eukaryota; Metazoa; Platyhelminthes; Trematoda; Strigeidida; Schistosomatidae. RNAcentral also lists the same sequence under 1 other name.